Molecule: long non-coding RNA, 684 nt
Organism: Drosophila miranda
Lineage: Eukaryota; Metazoa; Arthropoda; Insecta; Diptera; Drosophilidae
Exons: 2
Source: RefSeq, a predicted model, not a curated record
UUUGACACACACACACACGCUUUAUACAAAAAAGGAGAGCAAACUUUAAACUUUGCACUAACAGCAGCAGCAGUUCCCCAAUGUAAAGUGGUAAACCAGGAGUGCGGAGCAGAGCAGGAGGGUGGGGAGGUCCAGCUGCAAUUGGAAUACUACUGCUCCGUUCCACAGUACGAACGACCACGGCACAAACUCCAGAAGGAAAUUACAAACCAAAGUAAACGCCAAGAGCAGCCAAGGAAGUUGUUGACGCAGGACGAGCGCCGGCGCUGAGUGUCAGUGUCAUAUCCUGUGCCAAAAGUGCACACAGAACACCAGACCCCAGGCCAGACCCAUAACCGAGAGCCAAGCGCCAAGCCCCAGUCGAGUCGGGUCGAGACUCCGAAACCCAGACAGAGACUGAGGCUGCACAUUACAAAUGAAUAAUUUAUGCGCGCGCUCUCAACGGCAGAUGGAUGUGGGAUAUAGAUGGGAAUGGGUAUGGGUGUGGGGAUGGGAAUGGGAGCCACUGCAGACUCCUGCCACCCAUAGACACAGUCACGGAGGACUGCGGCAACGUCCAAUCCUGGUCAAUGCCAAAUGAGUUGUGGCAACGUCUCGCUGGUGCCAUAAAAGAGAACAAGGCAAACGGGAAGGCAAACGGGAAGCUGUUGCUCUGCAUAAACUAAAAUCGUUUGCACCGAAAAA